GGCUGGCAGCCUCUUCACUCUCACCGUGGAGCGGGAGCUGGGGGGUGGCAGGCACCAGCGCUCGGCCCUCAGGAUCCUGCUGUCCCCAGGGGCCGGCGGGCCCUGCCCCAGGCCGUACGUACAGGGCUGAGCUCUGCUCCCCCUCCAGCACUCCCUGUGCCUGCUGAGGGCCAGGGAAUUCCAUCCCUGCAGGUGAAGCAGGAGGGACACCCCAGUGGGAGCCCUGGCUGGGGGCCAAGGGGGUGUCACUGCUCCUUGGGGAUAUGUGGGGCCAACCCAUCCCUGGGUCCCUGCCUGGCCUGGUAAGAGCCAGCUCUCUCCUGGGGUGUCUCCCCACGUGCAGGGAACCUGGAGCUGUCUGCCUGCCCUGGAUCGUGGAGCGACUGCUGGAGGGGAACAGCCUGACCUUCCUGCUGCUGUGUGUGUCACUGCCAGGUACCCCUGGGACUGGGACACUCUCUGGGUGCCCUCUCCCUACUGAUUCCCCCCCACAUGGCACUCAGUCCCUGCUGCCUGGGACACCUGCAGUCACUGGAAGCUGACACAGCUCCACUCCUCUCCAUGGCACCCCCUGUGCUGGGAGCCCCCAUGGCCCCUGCCCAGGGCUCACUGUUCUCCCAGACACCUCCAGAGAGGAGAUCCUGGGAGCUCUGGGACUGGCUCAGAGGGUGAAGGGGCUGGCCAAGACCAUCUCUGCCACGCUCUGGGCCCCUGAGGAGGAGAUUGGGGCGCGCCGCAGGGAGAUCCGAGCGCUGCGCGUGGAGCUGCUGGCUGGGCCUGGCCGCCCUGAGCACAGAGCAGCUGUGGCCCAGCUGAGGAGAGCCCUGAGGGAGCUGAAGGUGCUGAAGAGCCAGAGGUGGGAGAAAAAGCAGUCAGUGACCAAGGUGCUGGGGACAAGUGAUAUGCACCAGCCCAGUGCUGAGGAGCAGGUCUCUGCAGGAAAUGCAGCUCCAGGCCAGCAGCCUGGGAGCCAGACACCCCUGGAGCCAGCAGAGCCAGAGCGUGGGGCCAGGCGUGCAUCCCGCAGAUGGGUGGAGGACAUGUGGGCACAGAGCGUGGCUGGACACGGACAGGGUGACAGCAGAAGCCAGGAAGGGGACAGCCAAGCUCUGGCCAGCACAGGGCUGCUGGAGGAGCCAUCCCAGAGCAAAGUGUCACAGCCACGGCCCGGGUGUGACAGCGCUGGGAGGCGGUGCCAGCCGUGCCCACUCCCGGAGGUGCAGCGGGCCCUGGCCAGGGCACGGCGGCAGCGGCUGCGGGCUCAGCACUGCCGGCAGCGCCAGCGGGAGCUCGGGGCCGGCUCUGUGCCAGCCCGGGAGCACAGCGGAGAGCGGGACACAGAGCGCUGGCAGCGGGAGGUGACCGCGCUGGGCCUGAGCCUGGAGGCAGCGCUGCGGGAGCGGGAGGCGGCCGAGUGGGAGCUGGAGGCUCUGCUGCUCAACCACCACCGGGAGAUGCAGGGCUGCCGACAGCACCUGCUGCAGGUGCUCCGGGACCAGCAGCGCCUGGCGGAGGAGCAGCGGGCGGGCCUGGAGCGCCGGCACCGGGAGCGGCUGCAGGAGGCGCUGCGGGAACUCGCCGAGCACAAGCAGCUCCUGAGGGACACCCCACGGGCAGGCACGGCCGGUGCCACCUCACAGACACCCUGAGGCACGGCCGGGCGUGGGGACAGCUGGCCUGGCACGACUGGGUCCCUGCACCGAGCCAGCAGCCAUGCCAGGAUACCGGGCAGCCCCAGGCACAGGAGUUAUCCCAGGCCUCUGGCUGUGCUCCCGAGGGAAAGCCUGCUCUGUGCUGGGACCCUGCCUGUGGGAGCACAGCUCAGCCUGCUGGGAGGCAGGCUUUGUUCUCCACACAGAAUAAAGUGGGUGCUCCUCAGCCGUGAGUGGUGUCA
Molecule: long non-coding RNA, 1894 nt
Filed under: Junco hyemalis (dark-eyed junco)
Lineage: Eukaryota; Metazoa; Chordata; Aves; Passeriformes; Passerellidae
Description: lncRNA (ENSJHYG00000006425.1)
Source: RNAcentral